This 347-nucleotide unclassified non-coding RNA is filed under the name Hevea brasiliensis (rubber tree). Lineage: Eukaryota; Viridiplantae; Streptophyta; Magnoliopsida; Malpighiales; Euphorbiaceae. The record is from RNAcentral.
UAGAGAUUAGUGAGUGGAACAGAAAUUCUAAAACAAAACAGACUUUGAGAUGACUAAUUAACUCAAGAAAUUGAAAAAUAUCAACUGAACAAAUGGCAUCUAAGCAUCUAACACUAAUUUUCCUGAUAUCAAAUAAAACACACAUGCACAUCCAUUUCCCAAUUUCAAAGCAACUAUCUCAUCAUUGUUUAUUAGCACUAAUGAUCACUCAGUUGGCACAGACUACAGAGAAAUAUGAACAGAAAAUAGGAGUACUAAAAUCUGCUGAUGCUAACAGGUGCAUAUAUGUAUGGUACACAACAUCAAUAAACCAUUUGUUGUUGAAGAACUUCACUAGCGGGGGUAAA